AACACUGACGUCGCGACGCAUAUCAAUAAGCGGAGGAAAAGAAACUAACAAGGAUUCCCUAGUAACGGCGAGUGAAGCGGGAAGAGCUCAAAUUUGAAAUCUUCAAGGUUCUACCUUGACGAAUUGUAGUUUAAAGAAGUGUUUUCUGUUAGAGGAGUAGUAAAAGUUCUUUGGAAUAGGACAUCAUAGAGGGUGAGAAUCCCGUAUUUGGUCAUUCCUUCUAGCUUUGUGAUACACUUUCAAAGAGUCGGAUUGUUUGGGAAUGCAGUCCAAAAUGGGUGGUAAAUUUCAUCUAAAGCUAAAUAUUGGCGAGAGACCGAUAGCGAACAAGUACCGUGAGGGAAAGAUGAAAAGAACUUUGAAAAGAGAGUUAAACAGUACGUGAAAUUGUCAAAAGGGAAGCGUUUGACACCAGUGUUGUUUUUCCGAAAAUCAAUUACGAAUGGUUUGAUUUCUGAUGAGUGUAUGACCUUCAUCAGCUUCCUGCAUCUCUUCCGAAGUCUUUUGUAAUGCACUUUUCGGUUAACAAGUCAACAUCAAUUUCUUUUGUUGUAAAAGAGUAUUCGGAAGGUGGCUUUCUUUUCGGAGAAAGUGUUUAUAGCCCUAUACUUCUACAAUCGGAGAGAUUGAGGUCUGCAGCGUAGAUCCUUCGGGGUUAGAUACAUUUGUGCUAAGUUGUAGCUUUUCAUAGACAACUUGUUGACUAUGUUUAGUCAUGCGGCUUACUCGCUUAUGCUAUUUUACCUACGCUUAGGAUGUUGAGUCGUAGAGCACGCAG
This 778-nucleotide ribosomal RNA is filed under the name uncultured Neocallimastigales. Its description in RNAcentral is "partial large subunit ribosomal RNA". It matches the Rfam family "Eukaryotic large subunit ribosomal RNA", at positions 23 to 634 of the family's 3401-position model. The record is from RNAcentral. Lineage: Eukaryota; Fungi; Neocallimastigomycota; Neocallimastigomycetes; Neocallimastigales.